RNAcentral lists this ribosomal RNA (388 nucleotides) under uncultured bacterium. RNAcentral describes it as "bacterial SSU rRNA". It matches the Rfam family "Bacterial small subunit ribosomal RNA", at positions 28 to 417 of the family's 1533-position model. The record is from RNAcentral.
GACGAACGCUGGCGGCGUGCUUAACACAUGCAAGUCGAGCGGUAAGGCCCUUUCGGGGGUACACGAGCGGCGAACGGGUGAGUAACACGUGGGUGACCUGCCCUCAGCCCUGGGAUAAGCCUGGGAAACCGGGUCUAAUACUGGAUAUGACUCCAUGACGCAUGUUGUGGGGUGGAAAGCCUUGUGCGGCUGAGGAUGGGCCCGCGGCCUAUCAGCUUGUUGGUGGGGUGAUGGCCUACCAAGGCGACGACGGGUAGCCGGCCUGAGAGGGCGACCGGCCACACUGGGACUGAGACACGGCCCAGACUCCUACGGGAGGCAGCAGUGGGGAAUCUUGCGCAAUGGGCGAAAGCCUGACGCAGCGACGCCGCGUGAGGGAUGACGGCCU